This 73-nucleotide transfer RNA is filed under the name Cirroctopus glacialis. RNAcentral's name for it is "tRNA-Trp". Lineage: Eukaryota; Metazoa; Mollusca; Cephalopoda; Octopoda; Opisthoteuthidae. The record is from RNAcentral.
AGAAUUUUAAGUUAAAAAAACUAGGAAUUUUCAAAAUUCCAAAUAUAUAAGUAUGUUAUUUAUUUAAAUUCUG